This 68-nucleotide transfer RNA is filed under the name Uraeotyphlus gansi (Gansi caecilian). RNAcentral describes it as "tRNA-Arg". The record is from RNAcentral. Lineage: Eukaryota; Metazoa; Chordata; Amphibia; Gymnophiona; Ichthyophiidae.
AAGAAGUUAGUCUAAAAAAGAUUAUUAAUUUCGACUUAAUAGAUUGCGGUUCACCCCACAACUUCUUU